This is a long non-coding RNA of Dreissena polymorpha, 1193 nucleotides long. RefSeq lists it as uncharacterized. The record is from RefSeq and is a predicted model, not a curated record. The transcript has 3 exons. Lineage: Eukaryota; Metazoa; Mollusca; Bivalvia; Myida; Dreissenidae.
UCAAAGAACGGUCGAUAUGUCAAAACAGUUUGGUUUCACCGUAUCAUGUUUUAAUAAUGUUACAGUCGCCGGUGAACUUUGCAGAAUUGCUUACCGAUAUCCAUGAAGUGGGCGUUAAAAAGGGGUCCAAAGGCAUAUUCGAUGGUUUUCUUGAUGGUGACAAAACAAAUCAACACUUGUAGUGGAUUUACUGGCCGCUAAUGUGCGCCGACAAUCAACUGAAGAUAUCGUACGUGAAAAUUAAGAAAUGAAGCAAAAGCUGAUGUGUACAGUGUGCCGUGACAAGGUCAGAUGCAUCGUGUUCCUACCUUGCUGCCAUCUAUUGGCAUGCGAACGAUGUGGCUAUCCAACAAACACCUGCAUGAAAUGAACACAAUUGUGAAGGAACACUUGAAGGUCAUACGAUCAGCUCAAGCUAAAUAGACGUGAACAUGUCUACAUUUAUGUUUUUAUUAUCAAUUAUUACUGCGUGUCGUUUGUUUAGAUAAUUUAAUUUUAUGAUGUAUCUCUUAAAGUUACAUGGGGUGUCAUAUCAAAUGCAAUGAAGUUUUUAGGUACAGACAUAGUCGUCAUUGUUGUCGAACUGUUACGAACAUUCAUUCGCCCCAUUAUAAUCAAUGUGUAACUCACAAAGCUGUUAAUUUUCUAUAUGGUGACUAAAAUAUUUUUAUGCGGUUUUAUAUGAAUAUAAAUGAACGGCUAUAUACAAACAUACACAUUUAAAAUGUUAAAGUUAAGUCAUUAAAUGCCGUGUAAUAACUGUUGUAUGCGCGACCUUUUACUGUGUAUCUCAUCAUGACAACAUACAGAAUAAUUCCAGUUAGCAGUUUUUAAUACUAUCACAUCUUCACAAAGUCUUUCAACGAUUCCUUUAACUUUAUGUAUUGUUUCAUUUUUUUGCAUGUUUUGUUGAAAUAUUUUCUUUAAGUUUAAAGCAAUAAUCAAUUUGCCAAUAUAACUCAUUGUAUUAGCAAUAUGUUCGUGUGUUUACAAACGCAUUAUAUUUAUAUGAAAUAAAAGUGUCAUUUGUUAUUAUUUGUUAUUUAAUUAAGUUGGUAUAUACAUUCUUCAUAUGAGAAAAUGUUCUUAUAUGGACGUGGUUGCUGUUUUUGCUUACAUACAUAUUUUUUUUGCAUUUUAUUCUAUAUUAAAUGAUGUACUGUAUAUAAUUGACUAUGUUGUGCUAUGUUGUA